UACGUAGGGCGCAAGCGUUAUCCGGAAUUAUUGGGCGUAAAGAGCUCGUAGGCGGUUUGUCGCGUCUGCCGUGAAAGUCCGGGGCUCAACUCCGGAUCUGCGGUGGGUACGGGCAGACUAGAGUGAUGUAGGGGAGACUGGAAUUCCUGGUGUAGCGGUGAAAUGCGCAGAUAUCAGGAGGAACACCGAUGGCGAAGGCGGCAUCCUGGACCAUGACUGACGCUGAGGAGCGAAAGCCAGGGGAGCAAACGGA
RNAcentral lists this ribosomal RNA (253 nucleotides) under uncultured bacterium. RNAcentral describes it as "partial 16S ribosomal RNA". It matches the Rfam family "Bacterial small subunit ribosomal RNA", at positions 524 to 776 of the family's 1533-position model. The record is from RNAcentral.